Molecule: ribosomal RNA, 2902 nt
Filed under: Klebsiella pneumoniae
Lineage: Bacteria; Pseudomonadati; Pseudomonadota; Gammaproteobacteria; Enterobacterales; Enterobacteriaceae
Description: 23S ribosomal RNA
Rfam family: Bacterial large subunit ribosomal RNA
Source: RNAcentral
GGGUUGUGAGGUUAAGCGACUAAGCGUACACGGUGGAUGCCCUGGCAGUCAGAGGCGAUGAAGGACGUGCUAAUCUGCGAAAAGCGUCGGUAAGGUGAUAUGAACCGUUAUAACCGGCGAUGUCCGAAUGGGGAAACCCAGUGUGAUUCGUCACACUAUCGUUAACUGAAUACAUAGGUUAACGAGGCGAACCGGGGAACUGAAACAUCUAAGUACCCCGAGGAAAAGAAAUCAACCGAGAUUCCCCCAGUAGCGGCGAGCGAACGGGGAGCAGCCCAGAGUCUGAAUCAGCUUGUGUGUUAGUGGAACGGUCUGGAAAGUCCGACGGUACAGGGUGAUAGUCCCGUACACCAAAAUGCACAGGCUGUGAACUCGAAGAGUAGGGCGGGACACGUGGUAUCCUGUCUGAAUAUGGGGGGACCAUCCUCCAAGGCUAAAUACUCCUGACUGACCGAUAGUGAACCAGUACCGUGAGGGAAAGGCGAAAAGAACCCCGGCGAGGGGAGUGAAAAAGAACCUGAAACCGUGUACGUACAAGCAGUGGGAGCACCUUCGGGUGUGACUGCGUACCUUUUGUAUAAUGGGUCAGCGACUUAUAUUCUGUAGCAAGGUUAACCGUAUAGGGAGCCGCAGGGAAACCGAGUCUUAACUGGGCGUUAAGUUGCAGGGUAUAGACCCGAAACCCGGUGAUCUAGCCAUGGGCAGGUUGAAGGUUGGGUAACACUAACUGGAGGACCGAACCGACUAAUGUUGAAAAAUUAGCGGAUGACUUGUGGCUGGGGGUGAAAGGCCAAUCAAACCGGGAGAUAGCUGGUUCUCCCCGAAAGCUAUUUAGGUAGCGCCUCGUGAACUCAUCUUCGGGGUAGAGCACUGUUUCGGCUAGGGGUCAUCCCGACUUACCAACCCGAUGCAAACUACGAAUACCGAAGAAUGUUAUCACGGGAGACACACGGCGGUGCUAACGUCCGUCGUGAAGAGGGAAACAACCCAGACCGCCAGCUAAGGUCCCAAAGUCAUGGUUAAGUGGGAAACGAUGUGGGAAGGCACAGACAGCCAGGAUGUUGGCUUAGAAGCAGCCAUCAUUUAAAGAAAGCGUAAUAGCUCACUGGUCGAGUCGGCCUGCGCGGAAGAUGUAACGGGCUAAACCAUGCACCGAAGCUGCGGCAGCGACACUAUGUGUUGUUGGGUAGGGGAGCGUUCUGUAAGCCUGCGAAGGUGACCUGUGAGGGUUGCUGGAGGUAUCAGAAGUGCGAAUGCUGACAUAAGUAACGAUAAAGCGGGUGAAAAGCCCGCUCGCCGGAAGACCAAGGGUUCCUGUCCAACGUUAAUCGGGCAGGGUGAGUCGACCCCUAAGGCGAGGCCGAAAGGCGUAGUCGAUGGGAAACAGGUUAAUAUUCCUGUACUUGGUGUUACUGCGAAGGGGGGACGGAGAAGGCUAUGUUAGCCGGGCGACGGUUGUCCCGGUUUAAGCAUGUAGGCUGGUUAUCCAGGCAAAUCCGGAUAAUCAAGGCUGAGGUGUGAUGACGAGGCACUACGGUGCUGAAGUAACAAAUGCCCUGCUUCCAGGAAAAGCCUCUAAGCAUCAGGUAACAUCAAAUCGUACCCCAAACCGACACAGGUGGUCAGGUAGAGAAUACCAAGGCGCUUGAGAGAACUCGGGUGAAGGAACUAGGCAAAAUGGUGCCGUAACUUCGGGAGAAGGCACGCUGGUGUGUAGGUGAAGCCCCUGCGGGUGGAGCUGAGACCAGUCGAAGAUACCAGCUGGCUGCAACUGUUUAUUAAAAACACAGCACUGUGCAAACACGAAAGUGGACGUAUACGGUGUGACGCCUGCCCGGUGCCGGAAGGUUAAUUGAUGGGGUUAUCCGUAAGGAGAAGCUCUUGAUCGAAGCCCCGGUAAACGGCGGCCGUAACUAUAACGGUCCUAAGGUAGCGAAAUUCCUUGUCGGGUAAGUUCCGACCUGCACGAAUGGCGUAAUGAUGGCCAGGCUGUCUCCACCCGAGACUCAGUGAAAUUGAACUCGCUGUGAAGAUGCAGUGUACCCGCGGCAAGACGGAAAGACCCGUGAACCUUUACUAUAGCUUGACACUGAACAUUGAGCCUUGAUGUGUAGGAUAGGUGGGAGGCUUUGAAGCGUGGACGCCAGUCUGCGUGGAGCCAACCUUGAAAUACCACCCUUUAAUGUUUGAUGUUCUAACGUUGGCCCUUACCGGGGUUGCGGACAGUGUCUGGUGGGUAGUUUGACUGGGGCGGUCUCCUCCCAAAGCGUAACGGAGGAGCACGAAGGUUAGCUAAUCCUGGUCGGACAUCAGGAGGUUAGUGCAAUGGCAUAAGCUAGCUUGACUGCGAGCGUGACGGCGCGAGCAGGUGCGAAAGCAGGUCAUAGUGAUCCGGUUGGUUCUGAAUGGAAGGGCCAUCGCUCAACGGAUAAAAGGUACUCCGGGGAUAACAGGCUGAUACCGCCCAGAGUUCAUAUCGACGGCGGUGUUUGGCACCUCGAUGUCGGCUCAUCACAUCCUGGGGCUGAAGUAGGUCCCAAGGUAUGGCUGUUCGCCAUUUAAAGUGGUACGCGAGCUGGGUUUAGAACGUCGUGAGACAGUUCGGUCCUAUCUGCCGUGGGCGCUGGAGAAUUGAGGGGGCUGCUCCUAGUACGAGAGGACCGGAGUGGACGCAUCACUGGUGUUCGGGUUGUCAUGCCAAUGGCACUGCCGGUAGCUAAAUGCGGAAGAGAUAAGUGCUGAAAAGCAUCUAAGCACGAAACUUGCCCCGAGAUGAGUUCUCCUGAGACUUUAAGUCUCCUGAAGGAACGUUGAAGACGACGACGUUGAUAGGCCGGGUGUGUAAGCGCAGCGAUGCGUUGAGCUAACGCGUACUAAUGAACCGUGAGGCUUAACCUUACAA